Molecule: ribosomal RNA, 520 nt
Filed under: uncultured Glomus
Lineage: Eukaryota; Fungi; Glomeromycota; Glomeromycetes; Glomerales; Glomeraceae
Description: SSU rRNA
Rfam family: Eukaryotic small subunit ribosomal RNA
Source: RNAcentral
CGCAGCCGCGGUAAUUCCAGCUCCAAUAGCGUAUAUUAAAGUUGUUGCAGUUAAAAAGCUCGUAGUUGAAUUUCGGGAUCAAUACGUCGGUCGUGCUUCGGUACGUACUGGCGUCAUUGGUUUCUCCCUUCUGACGAACCACGAUGUUAUUAACUUGGUGUCAUGGGAAAUCAGGACUGUUACUUUGAAAAAAUUAGAGUAGUUUAAAGCAGGCUCACGCUUGAAUACAUUAGCAUGGAACAAUGAAAUAGGACGUUCGAUCCUAUUUUGUUGGUUUCUAGGAUCAACGUAAUGAUUAAUAGGGAUAGUUGGGGGCAUUAGUAUUCAAUUGUCAGAGGUGAAAUUCUUGGAUUUAUUGAAGACUAACUACUGCGAAAGCAUUUGCCAAGGAUGUUUUCAUUAAUCAAGAACGAAAGUUAGGGGAUCGAAGACGAUCAGAUACCGUCGUAGUCUUAACCAUAAACUAUGCCGACUAGGGAUCGGAUGAUGUUAAUUUUUAAUGACUCAUUCGGCGCCUUAC